UCAGUUGUGUUGCAUCUCGCGCGAGUACGUUGUCGUCGAGUGGUGGUUCUUUAUUCUAUGGAGUGGUUCUGAAAGCGCUGCGUUAGGGGCGACUGCAACCAGGCGUUGCGGCAAGUUACGGUGGGAACUUCUGUCCGUGCUGUGUGAUUGCGACGAGGACGACUGCCGCCAGCAGCGGCGUGUCGCCGAUUUCGUCUUUGCCGACAUCGAGCAAGUGCAGCGCCGGAAGUGUUGCGUUUUGCACUGCAUUUUCCUUGUGAUAUGGGAGAUCGCAACGCAGAGACGACCAGAUGCAUACGAAAGACUACCAGCGGAGAGUGACCUGUGCCAUAUUUCUCUUAACCUCUCAGGUAUUCAAGAAAUGGCAACAUCCAGAAGAAGACGCCAUCUUAUCCAGCACGUUAUGGGUACACUCUGGUGGCUCCCGCCCCUGCAUCCUACGACCACCGUGUCCUCACUAUGUUCACUAGGGAGUUCGAAGCCUUUGGCGGCUCCUGCCACUGCGUCCUGCCACCACCGUGUCCUGACUACGUCCACUAGGGAGUUGGCAGCCUUCGUGAUGAUGCCAAGCAGGCUGGAAGCUGACAGAAAGAUCGAGGUUGCCUCGAAAUUUUACCCAAGCCGUGCCACACACUUGGGCCAGGCCUCUUGCAAACGACGUAUAACCAGGCUCAACGCAGGAUGUCGAGUGAGUCCGGAGAUCGAGGCAACCUGCUGUGCAACCAGCGUGCAACCUUUGGUGACCCUCAACAUGUUCCACCUAUUUCACAGCUGCACUCAGCUUCCACCUAUCCAAACCGCAUCACCAGCUGUGGUCACUCAUCGAACCAUGGAUGAAUGUUGGGGUGGAGUGAUUUGAAGAGACAUUUUUUUUGUCUCUUCAAAUCCUUAGCAAAUACUUGUGUUAUUAUAAUUAAUAUGUGUCUUUAGUGCCUAGUUUUUAAUGGUUCCUUUCUAUUAGAAUUCUCGCCAUCGAUUCCUGCUAUUAUAAUGUAUGUCUGUCUUUAUGCACAGUUUUUCAUAGUUCUUUUGUACUUGUCUAUGUAAUUGAUAGGUUCAUACUUCUUGUUAUACAGAAGGCUAAAAUGCAAACUUACGGCAUUUUUUUCUUCCUUUUGAUAAUCUACAGCACUGCAAAGUGUUCAAGAAAUGUAACCCAACGUGGGCUCUGGUGCAGGAAAAAUUUAAGAGCAAUAUAGAGUACUUAUUUCAAACACCCAUUAUUUUUGGAAAAGUAAAGAAUAUAGGAGCACAAAAAGAAAAUAUUAAACUAGAGAAACAUGAGUUCCCCUCAUAAGUCUGAUAAUAAUGUGACUUCCCUUCACUGCAAAGACACCAGUAAUAUACUCGCAUACAAGGUUUGAAACAAGAAAGCUAUGAUGCCCUUGGCAUUUCUCAGUGCCUAUUUGUCACACUGACGAAUGUCAAAGGCAUCGUAGGUUUCAUGUACACAUUGGUUGUGUUACACUUUUGAGUAUUGCAUUUCUCAAACACAAAGGUUUACAGCAGUGCUUUAAAUAGCAAAUGCAUUUCCUAAUUUAUUAGUGCAAGAGGAACAGUACAGAUCAUGUAAAAA
Molecule: non-coding RNA, 1576 nt
Organism: Dermacentor albipictus
Lineage: Eukaryota; Metazoa; Arthropoda; Arachnida; Ixodida; Ixodidae
Source: RefSeq, a predicted model, not a curated record